Molecule: ribosomal RNA, 1403 nt
Filed under: uncultured bacterium
Lineage: Bacteria
Description: 16S ribosomal RNA
Rfam family: Bacterial small subunit ribosomal RNA
Source: RNAcentral
AGAGUUUGAUCCUGGCUCAGGAUGAACGCUAGCUACAGGCUUAACACAUGCAAGUCGAGGGGAAACGACAUCGAAAGCUUGCUUUUGAUGGGCGUCGACCGGCGCACGGGUGAGUAACGCGUAUCCAACCUGCCCACCACUUGGGGAUAACCUUGCGAAAGUAAGACUAAUACCCAAUGAUAUCCCACGAAGGCAUCCGAAUGGGAUUAAAGAUUUAUCGGUGAUGGAUGGGGAUGCGUCUGAUUAGCUUGUUGGCAGGGUAACGGCCCACCAAGGCGACGAUCAGUAGGGGUUCUGAGAGGAAGGUCCCCCACAUUGGAACUGAGACACGGUCCAAACUCCUACGGGAGGCAGCAGUGAGGAAUAUUGGUCAAUGGGCGAGAGCCUGAACCAGCCAAGUAGCGUGCAGGAUGACGACCCUAUGGGUUGUAAACUGCUUUUAUAAGGGAAUAAAGUGAGUCUCGUGAGACUUUUUGCAUGUACCUUAUGAAUAAGGACCGGCUAAUUCCGUGCCAGCAGCCGCGGUAAUACGGAAGGUCCGGGCGUUAUCCGGAUUUAUUGGGUUUAAAGGGAGCGUAGGCCGGAGAUUAAGCGUGUUGUGAAAUGUAGAGGCUCAACCUCUGCACUGCAGCGCGAACUGGUCUUCUUGAGUACGCACAACGUGGGCGGAAUUCGUGGUGUAGCGGUGAAAUGCUUAGAUAUCACGAAGAACUCCGAUUGCGAAGGCAGCUCACGGGAGCGCAACUGACGCUGAAGCUCGAAAGUGCGGGUAUCGAACAGGAUUAGAUACCCUGGUAGUCCGCACGGUAAACGAUGGAUGCCCGCUGUUGGCCUGAAUAGGUCAGCGGCCAAGCGAAAGCAUUAAGCAUCCCACCUGGGGAGUACGCCGGCAACGGUGAAACUCAAAGGAAUUGACGGGGGCCCGCACAAGCGGAGGAACAUGUGGUUUAAUUCGAAGCAACGCGAAGAACCUUACCAAGUCUUGACAUCGAUCUGACCGGAAAGUAACGUUUCCUUUCCCUUCGGGGACAGAGAAGACAGGUGGUGCAUGGUUGUCGUCAGCUCGUGUCGUGAGAUGUUGGGUUAAGUCCCGCAACGAGCGCAACCCUUAUCCUUAGUAGCCAGCAAGCGAGGUUGGGCACUCUAGGGAGACUGCCAGGGAUAACCUGGAGGAAGGUGGGGAUGACGUCAAAUCAUCAUGCCCCUUAUGAUUUGGGCUACACACGUGUUACAAUGGCAUGUACAGAAAGCGGGCCGUAUGCAAAUACGGCCAAAUCCCUAAAACAUGUCUCAGUUCGGACUGGGGUCUGCAACCCGACCCCACGAAGCUGGAUUCGCUAGUAAUCGCGCAUCAGCCAUGGCGCGGUGAAUACGUUCCCGGGCCUUGCACACACCGCCCGUCA